CCUUCACCAGGUCAAGGAGCCGGCAUCAGACACUAACCCAAGUCCACAACGCCUAGUCUCACCACACCCCCAAGGGUCAUCAGCAGUGAUAAAUUUUGAGUAUAAGCGAUAGCUUGACUCAGUCAGAGAAAAGAGGGCCGGCCAACCCGGUGCCAGCUGCCGCGGCUACCCCGUGGGGCUCAAGUUGAAGAUCAUCGGCGUUAAGCGUGAUUAAAGUCCCAUUAGAUUAAGGCUAAAUUAAUGCUCAGUUGUUUAAAGCUCGCUAUUAAGAAAAACAAAAACGAAAGUUGCCCUAACCCACACUUGAAUUCACGACAGCUGGGGAACAAACUGGGAUCAGAUACCCCACUAUGCCCAGCCGUAAACAAUUAAUUUACAACUAUAAGCGCCAGGGAAUUACGAGCCAUGCUUAAAACCCAAAGGAUUUGACGGUGUCCCACCCCCCUAGAGGAGCCUGUUCUAUAAUCGAUGAUCCCCGCUACACCCGACCACUUCUUGCUCAUCAGUCUGUAUACCUCCGUCGAAAGCUUACCAUGUGAACGCCACCCACAGUAAGUUCAAUGAUCCACGUCAAUACGUCAGGUCAAGGUGCAGCUUAAGAAGUGGGAAGUGAUGGGCUACAAUUUCUAACCUAGAACAAACGAAAGACUAUGUGAAAUCAUGGUCCCGAAGGCGGAUUUAGUAGUAAAAAGAAAAUAGAGUGUUCUUUUUAACCUGGCUCUGGGACGCGUA
Molecule: ribosomal RNA, 732 nt
Filed under: Odorrana wuchuanensis (Wuchuan odorous frog)
Lineage: Eukaryota; Metazoa; Chordata; Amphibia; Anura; Ranidae
Description: partial 12S ribosomal RNA
Rfam family: Bacterial small subunit ribosomal RNA
Source: RNAcentral